RNAcentral lists this ribosomal RNA (1537 nucleotides) under uncultured prokaryote. RNAcentral's name for it is "partial 16S ribosomal RNA". It matches the Rfam family "Bacterial small subunit ribosomal RNA". The record is from RNAcentral.
AGAGUUUGAUCAUGGCUCAGAUUGAACGCUGGCGGCAGGCCUAACACAUGCAAGUCGAGCGGUAACACAAGGGAGCUUGCUCCUGAGGUGACGAGCGGCGGACGGGUGAGUAAUGCCUAGAUAUCUGCCUAGUCGUGGGGGAUAACAGUUGGAAAUGCCUGCUAAUACCGCAUAGGCCCUACGGGGGAAAGGAGGGGACCUUCCGGCCUUCCGCGAUUAGAUGAGUCUAGGUGGGAUUAGCAUGUUGGUGAGGUAAGAGCUCACCAAGGCGACGAUCCCUAGCUGGUCUGAGAGGAUGAUCAGCCACACUGGGACUGAGACACGGCCCAGACUCCUACGGGAGGCAGCAGUGGGGAAUAUUGCACAAUGGGCGAAAGCCUGAUGCAGCCAUGCCGCGUGUGUGAAGAAGGCCUUCGGGUUGUAAAGCACUUUCAGUUGGGAGGAAAGGUUAAUGGUUAAUAUCCAUUAGCUGUGACGUUACCAACAGAAGAAGCACCGGCUAACUUCGUGCCAGCAGCCGCGGUAAUACGAGGGGUGCAAGCGUUAAUCGGAAUUACUGGGCGUAAAGCGUACGCAGGCGGUUGGUUAAGCGAGAUGUGAGAUCCCCGGGCUCAACCUGGGAACUGCAUUUCGAACUGGCCAACUAGAGUAUGAGAGAGGGUGGUAGAAUUUCAGGUGUAGCGGUGAAAUCCGUAGAGAUCUGAAGGAAUACCAGUGGCGAAGGCGGCCUUCUGGACAGAUACUGACACUCAGAUGCGAAAGCGUGGGUAGCAAACAGGAUUAGAGACCCUGGUAGUCCACGCUGUAAACGAUGUCUACUUGGAGGUUGUGGCCUUGAGCCGUGGCUUUCGGAGCUAACGCGUUAAGUAGACCGCCUGGGGCGUACGGUCGCAAGAUUAAAACUCAAAUGAAUUGACGGGGGCCCGCACAAGCGGUGGAGCAUGUGGUUUAAUUCGAUGCAACGCGAAGAACCUUACCUACUCUUGACAUCCAGAGAAUUCGCUAGAGAUAGCUUAGUGCCUUCGGGAACUUUGAGACAGGUGCUGCAUGGCUGUCGUCAGCUCGUGUUGUGAAAUGUUGGGUUAAGUCCCGCAACGAGCGCAACCCUUAUCCUUAUUUGCCAGCACGUAAUGUCGGGAACUUUGAGGAGACUGCCGGUGAUAAACCGGAGGAAGGUGGGGACGACGUCAAGUCAUCAUGGCCCUUAUGGCUAGGGCUACACACGUGCUACAAUGGUCGGUACAGAGGGUUGCAAAGCCGCGAGGUGGAGCUAAUCUCACAAAGCCGGUCGUAGUCCGGAUCGGAGUCUGCAACUCGACUCCGUGAAGUCGGAAUCGCUAGUAAUCGUGGAUCAGAAUGCCACGGUGAAUACGUUCCCGGGCCUUGUACACACCGCCCGUCACACCAUGGGAGUUGGCUGCACCAGAAGUAGGUAGCUUAACCCUUCGGGGAGGGCGCUUACCACGGUGUGGUCAAUGACUGGGGUGAAGUCGUAACAAGGUAGCCCUAGGGGAACCUGGGGCUGGAUCACCUCCUU